CUUGCUUCUCUGAUGGUUAGCGGCGGACGGGUGAGUAACACGUAGGCAACCUGCCCUCAAGCUUGGGACAACUACCGGAAACGGUAGCUAAUACCGAAUAGUUGUUUUCUUCUCCUGAAGAGAACUGGAAAGACGGAGCAAUCUGUCACUUGGGGAUGGGCCUGCGGCGCAUUAGCUAGUUGGUGGGGUAACGGCUCACCAAGGCGACGAUGCGUAGCCGACCUGAGAGGGUGAUCGGCCACACUGGGACUGAGACACGGCCCAGACUCCUACGGGAGGCAGCAGUAGGGAAUCUUCCGCAAUGGGCGAAAGCCUGACGGAGCAAUGCCGCGUGAGUGAUGAAGGUUUUCGGAUCGUAAAGCUCUGUUGCCAGGGAAGAACGCUUGGGAGAGUAACUGCUCUCAAGGUGACGGUACCUGAGAAGAAAGCCCCGGCUAACUACGUGCCAGCAGCCGCGGUAAUACGUAGGGGGCAAGCGUUGUCCGGAAUUAUUGGGCGUAAAGCGCGCGCAGGCGGUCAUUUAAGUCUGGUGUUUAAUCCCGGGGCUCAACCCCGGAUCGCACUGGAAACUGGGUGACUUGAGUGCAGAAGAGGAGAGUGGAAUUCCACGUGUAGCGGUGAAAUGCGUAGAUAUGUGGAGGA
Molecule: ribosomal RNA, 642 nt
Filed under: Paenibacillus sp. FJAT-17178
Lineage: Bacteria; Bacillati; Bacillota; Bacilli; Caryophanales; Paenibacillaceae
Description: bacterial SSU rRNA
Rfam family: Bacterial small subunit ribosomal RNA
Source: RNAcentral